This 429-nucleotide ribosomal RNA is filed under the name Gemmatimonadota bacterium. RNAcentral's name for it is "Gemmatimonadetes bacterium partial 16S ribosomal RNA". It matches the Rfam family "Bacterial small subunit ribosomal RNA", at positions 355 to 776 of the family's 1533-position model. The record is from RNAcentral. Lineage: Bacteria; Pseudomonadati; Gemmatimonadota.
UAGGGAAUCUUCGGCAAUGGACGAAAGUCUGACCGAGCAACGCCGCGUGAGUGAAGAAGGUUUUCGGAUCGUAAAACUCUGUUGUUAGAGAAGAACAAGGACGUUAGUAACUGAACGUCCCCUGACGGUAUCUAACCAGAAAGCCACGGCUAACUACGUGCCAGCAGCCGCGGUAAUACGUAGGUGGCAAGCGUUGUCCGGAUUUAUUGGGAGUAAAGCGAGCGCAGGCGGUUUCUUAAGUCUGAUGUGAAAGCCCCCGGAUCAACCGGGGAGGGUCAUUAGAAACUGGGAGACUUGAGUGCAGAAGAGGAGAGUGGAAUUCCAUGUGUAGCGGUGAAAUGCGUAGAUAUAUGGAGGAACACCAGUGGCGAAGGCGGCUCUCUGGUCUGUAACUGACGCUGAGGCUCGAAAGCGUGGGGAGCAAACAGG